Small nucleolar RNA from Gigantopelta aegis, 196 nucleotides. RefSeq annotates it as small nucleolar RNA SNORA53. The transcript has a single exon. Lineage: Eukaryota; Metazoa; Mollusca; Gastropoda; Neomphalida; Peltospiridae. The record is from RefSeq and is a predicted model, not a curated record.
UACACGCUCCUUAGAUCCACUCUCGGGUCGUUGAUUGUCCAGGUCUACAGACCAGCAACUUGAUUGUUGUUCCAUCGAGAGUGCUUGAGUCAUUGGCGUGUAAUAUUAGUACACCUCAGUUAAUGGUCUCUGAACUUCUGCUAGCCAGCUAACUGUGGCUUCUUGUGCAGUUGUUAUAACCAUUAUCUGGGACAAA